This 2557-nucleotide long non-coding RNA is filed under the name Nilaparvata lugens (brown planthopper). RNAcentral's name for it is "uncharacterized LOC111058249". The record is from RNAcentral. Lineage: Eukaryota; Metazoa; Arthropoda; Insecta; Hemiptera; Delphacidae.
UUUCUUGAUUUCAUUAAUCAGAAGCCUAUUGUACGAUAGUUGGAAAAUCAUAUAAGAAUCAGGGUAACUCUAAGCAAUUUCCCUUUAUAGAUUCAGAGAUUGAGCUGCAUAAUCAACCCGUGUGUUAGUUUCUUGCUUCAUAAAUUUUCAAAGUCCAUAGAUUUUUCAAUCUUCCGUUAAUCAGUUUUGUAGAAAGCUGCAAUGAAGAUCAACCUCAUUUUUUUUCGGUGGUUUUGCUUUUUCCUUCUUAUGCGAUAGGAGCAAUACCGGAGGCCAAAUCAUGGGAUGAAUUUGAUGCCAUUAUGCAGAAAGGUGGAUCUUUUUGUUUGUUUCUAUGCGACAAUGCUGCGAAACAAUAUGAUAUAGACUUUAUGGAGGUAUCCUGCAAAAGUUUCCCAAAAGUAAAAUGCUACUAUGGAAUGGCAGAUCUCACAGCUAAACCAACUUCUUUCAAUGAUCAUUUCCAUAACGUAGGCACUCCUGCAGUAUAUUACUUCAAAGAUGGUAAACUGAUAAAAACCAUCGACCACCCAAGCGAUGUCGAUACAACUUAAGACGAAGUUGAUGCAGGAUUCAAAUUGUUGGGAUAAUAUUCCACAAGCGCUACACUGUAUCAUUGGAAACAAUAAUAUGAUUAUUCAAAAUUCCAGUAUGUGAGAGUUGUUUGUUUGUAAUACUAUUUAUUUCUUCUAUGAAUCUUCUGGUUUCGAACUUAAUCAUCAAUAAAUUGAGAGUUUUCGUUUCAAAAUCGGACAUCUGUGUUUUAAAACUUGGAAUUUGAGCUAUUUAAGGUUGUGCAUUCAAUAAUUUUUUUUUCAAAAAAUUUGUUUUUUCUCUUUCUAAUCUAUUGUACAGGUUCUUAGGACAUAAUCUAUGCAAUUGAAAUAUUUUUAUCAGCUUCUGUCACUUUUUUGAGGCAGAUAGUACUCAUACCCUACAAAAACUCCUGGUCAGAAAAAUUUGAGAAAAAUUUGCAAGUCUCCUCUUCAAUAUAGCAAAAAUUAUGUCAACUUUGUUUCUGAAAAUCUAAAAAAAAAAAAAAUUAUGCAUUUUAAACUUCUUUUUCACAUUCAAUGUUCUUUCUAUAGACUUCAAAUUCAUAGCAACUUGUAGCUCUGUUCUUCAUGAAUAAAGUUGAUGCUUAAACUUCUUUUAUACAUACAAUAAAAGCCGCUGGUAUGUGUACCUUCAAAGCACGGUUCUACGCCUGCUAUGCUCGGGCAGCAAGUGAAUAAUAGUACAGCUGGAGCGAUCUAGCGGAAUUAGUUUGUCCCUAGAGCUAAGCGCUCGACGUUAACACAUGAUCAUGAAAAAAUUAGCUCAUAAUGACUUCUGAAAAGGUAACAAUAAGAAAAAAAUGUACUCUAUUAUGUGCAGUACAACAAUCAGAUAAAAUAAUGCUUGUGGUGGAGAAUUCCUAAUAAAAACAAUAUAAACAUUUUUAUUACCCUAUUAUUAAAACCUUUGAAAUAUUUUAACAACUAGUUUCGACCUUAGGUCAUUUUCAUAGGUGGGAAAAUUCCUGUACUAACAGAUGUCCGUCUUGGAUCCUAGGCUACUCAAUUAUUGCAAUAAUUGCUUCAAUAUUCGAUCGAGAACCUACUUUGUAACCUACCCAUUUUGUUCUAGAAAAAUGUAUGAAGUUAGCAGAAUCUUAUUGACAGGUAGUUUCCGUAGGAAAAAUAUUUUGAUAAAAUCUACAACAUAUUUCGUUCUUCGAAUUCCAAGUAGUUUGCUCAAUAAAUGAUGAAUUUAUUAGGUGAUAAAAUGUUGUUGUUUAUCAAGUUACCAUGAUUCUUUUAGGGCCGGUUUACGAGCUCGGGACUCAGCUAAGUUCCAGGCUUCAAACAGCUGGAGUCAGAAAAUUGGCUUUUCGAAACGGGGCGUAGUCAUAGUCCACGUUUAAAUUGAAUUUCGGAAAACUAGAAAAUUGAACACAAAAUAUAAUAGACUAAAGAGAAAAUAGUGUGAAGUUUCAGCUAUUUUGAAUUUUUCAGGAAUAUUUCGUCCAGGAAAAACGUUUCCAGUAAUAGAAAUGAGAAAAUGAAGACUAUCAUGAAAACUUCGAAAAGCCAAUUUUCUGACUCCAGCUGUUUAAAGUCUAGAACUCAGCUAAAUCCUGAGCUCGGAAACCGACCCUUAUUGUCACUGCAAUGAAAUUGCUUACUCACUAAAUGAAAUUUUCUCACCAGAGUCCAACUAAGGAAAUUGUUAUUCUAAUAUCACAGUCUUUUCUCCUGAAUAAUCUUAAAUCCAAACCCAAAAAAUCAAUCAAUAAAAUAAGUACUUAAAUCCUACACAUGUCACAAUAGUAUGUACCUACAUUUCCAAGAUCUGAAUAGCACAAUGGAAACCAGCAGUUUUCAUUGCUGCAGCAAAAGAAUAUAGAAACAAUUAUUGCGAUAAAAAAUAAUUCAUGGAUGAUUAAGUUUGAAACAAGAGGUAAAAGAUUGCUGUACUCUGGAUCAUAUAGGGUUUUGUUUAAAAUAAUUUACUUUUCACUGUGUGGAGUGUUGAUUGAAUAAAUAAUGUUUUAUCCAAGUAUCAUUUUGUUUUG